CAACCCUCAAGCCCCCGCGGCUUGGUGUUGGGGGCCUGCGCACCGCAGCCCCCUAAAGACAGCGGCGGGCGUGGCCUGGCACCGAACGUAGUAGACUCUCUCUCGUUCGCGGUCCAGGGCGCGCUCCGGCCGGUAAACCCCCAUCUUUUUACAAU
This 155-nucleotide unclassified non-coding RNA is filed under the name Dinemasporium pseudodecipiens. RNAcentral's name for it is "partial internal transcribed spacer 2". The record is from RNAcentral. Lineage: Eukaryota; Fungi; Ascomycota; Sordariomycetes; Chaetosphaeriales; Chaetosphaeriaceae.